UACCCGCUGAACUUAAGCAUA
Molecule: ribosomal RNA, 21 nt
Filed under: Rhizopus microsporus
Lineage: Eukaryota; Fungi; Mucoromycota; Mucoromycetes; Mucorales; Rhizopodaceae
Also listed under: 1 other name
Description: partial 28S ribosomal RNA
Source: RNAcentral